Molecule: unclassified non-coding RNA, 397 nt
Filed under: uncultured Chytridiomycota
Lineage: Eukaryota; Fungi; Chytridiomycota
Description: sequence contains ITS1
Rfam family: 5.8S ribosomal RNA (bases 1-105)
Source: RNAcentral
GAAAUGCGAUAUGUAGUGUGAAUUGCAGAAUUCAGUGAAUCAUCGAAUCUUUGAACGCACAUUGCGCUCUCUGGUAUUCCGGGGAGCAUGCUCGUUUCAGAAUCAUUUCAAUUCUCAAACGUCCAGUUCGGUCUCUUCGGAGAUGGAACGGGAUGGUUUGGAUGUGGGCCACAUUUGCUUCGCGGCAGUGGCCCGAAAUUGAUUUGUGUUUGCAACCAUCCUCAUGGACUGGUUCUCUCAAGUGCAACAGAUGUUUACAACAUUCGUUAUCUCUUGUGGAGGGUCUUUCUGGAGUUUGGACGGCGUGACACUCAACCAACGAAACGUUCAAAGGCCCGUCUGGGUCUUUGUCUGAUAACUUGGUCUGAAAUCGAGCAAGAAAACCCGCUGAACUUAA